This 254-nucleotide ribosomal RNA is filed under the name uncultured bacterium. Its description in RNAcentral is "partial 16S ribosomal RNA". It matches the Rfam family "Bacterial small subunit ribosomal RNA", at positions 524 to 776 of the family's 1533-position model. The record is from RNAcentral.
UACGUAGGGGGCAAGCGUUGUCCGGAUUUAUUGGGCGUAAAAGGCUUGUAGGUGGCCACGCCAAGUCGGAUGUGAAAUCUCCCGGCUCAACUGGGAGGGGUCAUUCGAUACUGGCGGGCUCGAGGCCGGUAGGGGGAAGUGGAAUUCCCGGUGUAGUGGUGGAAUGCGUAGAUAUCGGGAGGAACACCAGUGGCGAAGGCGGCUCUCUGGGCAGAUACCGACGCUGAGAUGCGAAAGCGUGGGAAGCAAACAGG